This 579-nucleotide ribosomal RNA is filed under the name Macromaxillocaris bahamaensis. RNAcentral describes it as "partial 16S ribosomal RNA". It matches the Rfam family "Bacterial large subunit ribosomal RNA", at positions 1796 to 2644 of the family's 2925-position model. Lineage: Eukaryota; Metazoa; Arthropoda; Malacostraca; Decapoda; Macromaxillocarididae. The record is from RNAcentral.
UCGCCUGUUUUACAAAAACAUGUUUGUAUGUGUAGGAUAUAGAGUAUGGCCUGCCCGUUGAGUAGUUUGAAAGGCCGCGGUAAUUUGACCGUGCGAAGGUAGCAUAGUAAUUAGUUUUUUAAUUGAGAACUUGUAUGAAAGGUUAGAUGAGAAAUAGACUGUCUUAUUUAUAAAUUUUGAAUUUGACUUUUGAGUGAAAAGGCUUAAAUGUGAAAAGGGGACGAUAAGACCCUAUAAAACUUGAUAAUAUAUUUAUUGUAUUUUAUAUUUAUGGGUAUAUUAAAAUGUAAUUUGUUUUUAUUUUGUUGGGGCGACAGGAAUAUAAAUGGUAACUGUUCUUGAAUAUAACAGGUAUAAUUGAUUUUAUUUGAUCCUAUAAUGAAGAUUGGAAGGAAAAGUUACUUUAGGGAUAACAGCGUAAUUUUCUUUGAGAGUUCUUAUCGAUAAGAAAGAUUACGACCUCGAUGUUGAAUUAAAAUUUCCUUGUGGUGUAGCAGUUACAAAGGAGGGUCUGUUCGACCUUUAAAUUUUUACAUGAUUUGAGUUCAAACCGGCGUGAGCCAGGUUGUUUUCUAUCUA